CACGUAGGCGGGUCGUUAAGUCAGGGGUGAAAUCCCGGAGCUCAACUCCGGAACUGCCUUUGAUACUGGCGACCUUGAGGCUGGAAGAGGUUAGUGGAAUUCCCAGUGUAGAGGUGAAAUUCGUAGAUAUUGGGAAGAACACCAGUGGCGAAGGCGGCUAACUGGUCCAGAUCUGACGCUGAGGUGCGAAAGCGUGGGGAGAAAC
RNAcentral lists this ribosomal RNA (205 nucleotides) under uncultured bacterium. Its description in RNAcentral is "partial 16S ribosomal RNA". It matches the Rfam family "Bacterial small subunit ribosomal RNA", at positions 568 to 772 of the family's 1533-position model. The record is from RNAcentral.